AUUGAACGCUGGCGGCAGGCUUAACACAUGCAAGUCGAGCGGAGUGAUGGUGCUUGCACUAUCACUUAGCGGCGGACGGGUGAGUAAUGCUUAGGAAUCUGCCUAUUAGUGGGGGACAACAUCUCGAAAGGGAUGCUAAUACCGCAUACGUCCUACGGGAGAAAGCAGGGGAUCACUUGUGACCUUGCGCUAAUAGAUGAGCCUAAGUCGGAGUAGCUAGUUGGUGGGGUAAAGGCCUACCAAGGCGACGAUCCGUAGCGGGUCUGAGAGGAUGAUCCGCCACACUGGGACUGAGACACGGCCCAGACUCCUACGGGAGGCAGCAGUGGGGGAUAUUGGACAAUGGGGGGAACCCUGAUCCAGCCAUGCCGCGUGUGUGAAGAAGGCCUUAUGGUUGUAAAGCACUUUAAGCGAGGAGGAGGCUCUUUUGGUUAAUACCCAAGAUGAGUGGACGUUACUCGCAGAAUAAGCACCGGCUAACUCUGUGCCAGCCGCCGCCGUAA
RNAcentral lists this ribosomal RNA (503 nucleotides) under uncultured bacterium. RNAcentral describes it as "partial 16S ribosomal RNA". It matches the Rfam family "Bacterial small subunit ribosomal RNA", at positions 30 to 523 of the family's 1533-position model. The record is from RNAcentral.